RNAcentral lists this ribosomal RNA (477 nucleotides) under uncultured bacterium. RNAcentral describes it as "SSU rRNA". It matches the Rfam family "Bacterial small subunit ribosomal RNA", at positions 26 to 523 of the family's 1533-position model. The record is from RNAcentral.
AGGAUGAACGCUGGCGGCGUGCCUAACACAUGCAAGUCGAACGUCCUGUCUCGCAAGAGGCAGGGAGUGGCGGACGGGUGAGUACCACGUGGGUUAUCUACCGUGAGGUGAGGAAUACCGGCGAGAAAUCGCCGACAAGACCGCAUAGCCUCGGUGCAAGCCGAGGAAAGCUUUCUCGAGAGAGGGAGCGCCACACGAGGAGCCUGCGCCCGAUUAGCUAGCUGGUGGAGUAACGGUUCACCAGGGCGACGAUCGGUAGCUGGUCUGAGAGGACGAUCAGCCACACUGGGAUUGAGAACGGCCCAGACUCCUACGGGGGGCAGCAGUGAGGAAUUUUCGUCAAUGGGGGCAACCCUGAACGAGCAACGCCGCGUGCAGGAAGAAGGUUUUCGGAUCGUAAACUGCUUUUCUCGGGGAAGAGAACGGACGGUACCCGAGGAAUCAGCCCGGCUAAUUACGUGCCAGCAGCCGCGGUAA